Molecule: long non-coding RNA, 3127 nt
Filed under: Salmo salar (Atlantic salmon)
Lineage: Eukaryota; Metazoa; Chordata; Actinopteri; Salmoniformes; Salmonidae
Description: lncRNA (ENSSSAG00000118671.1)
Source: RNAcentral
GUGGUUCUUAACCUGGAGUCCUCAAACGGGGGGCCCGGCCGAUCCACUGGGGGCCCCGGCCCGGCCGAUCCACUGGGGGGAGGGGUACCCCAGUGGGAUCAGUCACACACUUCAAAGUGUACACUAUAUUAACGUUAGGGACCAGUCACACACUUCAAAGUGUACAGUAUUUUAAUGAUCGGAUAAAUCAGGCGUACAUCAAGUAUACAACAGAAUACUAACAGAUCUAGAAUCAGAGAGAAGACAUGAUCAGUUUCUACAUUACCCCCCCAGACGGAUCACAUCGACAUGAUCCGUUUCUACAUUACCCCCCCAGAGGGAUCACAUCAACAUGAUCAGUUUCUACAUUACCCCCCCAGACGGAUCACAUUGACAUGAUCAGUUUUCAGGCAUGUUUCACGGUUAGUAAAGAGAGAAAGAGAGAACAGGGGCACGGGAGAGAAAACAGGGGCGCGGGAGAGAAAACAGGGGCGCGGGAGAGAAAACAGGGGCGCGGGAGAGAAAACAGGGGCGCGGGAGAGAAAACAGGGGCGCGGGAGAGAAAACAGGGGCGCGGGAGAGAAAACAGGGGCGCGGGAGAGAAAACAGGGGCGCGGGAGAGAAAACAGGGGCACGGGAGAGAAAACAGGGGCGUGGGAGAGAGAACAGGGGCGCGGGAGAGAGAACAGGGGCUCGGGAGAGAGAACAGGGGCGCGGGAGAGAGAACAGGGGCACGGGAGAGAGAACAGGGGCACGGGAGAGAGAACAGGGGCACGGGAGAGAGAACAGGGGCACGGGAGAGAGAACAGGGGCACGGGAGAGAGAACAGGGGCACGGUAGGCAUCUCUCUCAUUUCACACCGUCUCCUUAACGACGGACAUGUUUCAGUACGAUACAGUUAAUUUCAAACCGUUGACAGAAGCGCUGCGUCGUGGUCCUGAACACAGCCUACCAUCAUCAUCAUCAUCCUCAUCAUCAUCAUGGCACUAAAACCAGAGCAGCAGAGUCGUGGUCCUGAACAGAGCCGAGUCGUAGCAAGCAAAGCCCAGGGAUCACCGUCCGUUCUUAAAAACACUGACGUCGCCUUUUCGCGACGUAAACAAGAGUUUCUAUUUGACAACACUUCAGGCAGGUCCCGUUCCAGAUGCUUCCGGUUGGUUCCUAGUGAAUCCAUCCUUGUUCCACUGCGGUCCAGUCCUCCACCGGGUCAGUAACGGUCCAGUCCCCCGGGGUCGGUAACGGUCCAGUCCCCCCGGGUCGGUAACGGUCCAGUCCCCCGGGUCGGUAACGGUCCAGUCAAUAACGGUCCAGUCAGUAACGGUCCAGUCCUCCACCGGGUCAGUAACGGUCCAGUCAAUAACGGUCCAGUCCUCCACCGGGUCGGUAACGGUCCAGUCAAUAACGGUCCAGUCCCCCCCGGGGUCGGUAACGGUCCAGUCCCCCCCGGGGUCGGUAACGGUCCAGUCAGUAACGGUCCAGUCAGUAACGGUCCAGUCCCCCCCGGGUCAGUAACGGUGCAGUCCCCCCAGGUCAGUAACGGUCCAGUCUCCCCCGGGUCAGUAACGGUCCAGUCCUCCACCGGGUCAGUAACGGUCCAGUCAAUAACGGUCCAGUCCUCCACCGGGUCGGUAACGGUCCAGUCAAUAACGGUCCAGUCCCCCCCGGGGUCGGUAACGGUCCAGUCCCCCCCGGGGUCGGUAACGGUCCAGUCAGUAACGGUCCAGUCAGUAACGGUCCAGUCCCCCCCGGGUCAGUAACGGUCCAGUCUCCCCCGGGUCAGUAACGGUCCAGUCUCCCCCGGGUCAGUAACGGGUCAGUAAUGGCACUUCUCAGGGUUGGUCCAACAGCCUGGGUCUGAAUCUUAACAGCUGUUAGCCUGCUGAACUGAAGCCAAGGCAUUAACUUGGGGGAGCUAACAAGUCUUCAGUAAACAGUCCUGGAAUUAUCCCAAAGCAGGAGAGGGGCUGGUGUAGUCAGUGGGCAGAGCUAAGGUACGGCAGCUCCACCCAUAAUGCACUGGGCUAAGGUCACAGAGGUCGUGACCACUUCUGACCCUGCCCACAUCAGGGGUUAAAGUUCAUAUAGCAGAGAUAUUAAAAAAAAAAAACAGUCAUGAUCCUGAAGGAUGAUGAAACACAAUCAGUGUGUGUGUGUGUGUGUGUGUGUGUGUGUGUGUGGUGGGGGUCAGAGUUCAUAUGGUCCGUUUGACACAGGGUCGUCCACUGAGGUGGGAACAUAUGGCUGCUCAACCAAUCAGCAUCCUCUAACAUGUCCACACCUAGACACAGAAAGAGAGAGAGAGGAGGAGAGACAAGCGAGACACAAGAAAGAGAGAGCGAAAGACAGAGAGAGAGAGAAAACACAGUGAGGGAUAUUGGAAUGGAUUGCCUGACUGACUAACCCUUCCACUACAAUUUUCACGGCCCCAAAAAUCCAGAGUGGCGUCGCAGUGUCAGAGGCGUCACUACAGACCCUGGUUCGAUCCCGGGCUCUAUCACAACCGGCCGUGAUAGGGCGGCGCACAAUUGGCCCAGCGUCGUCCGGGUUGGGGGGGGAGGGGCACCUGCAGGCUGACCAGUUAAACGGUGUUUCCGCCGACACAGCAACCUUCCCACUAGCCAUGAUUGGCUGAGAUAAUGAGUGGGCUGGACAUGCCGAGAGAGUAGUAGUUCGGAUUGGUCCUGCCAUAUAGAAGGCUUCUCUAUCUAUUCGAGCUCGUCAGUCUGUCUUGGUAAUGUAGUAGAGCUGCGUAAGUGUUGCUCUCCACUUUCUGGAGGAUCAAGUUUUGAAAAAUCUGUGGAAAUUAGAGUCUGAUAGCUAAGGAGAUGGAGGAAACACCUGUCUCCGGGAUUACAUCUUCAAAACUAAGGGCAACCGUGGCGUGGCAUCCGUGACAGGGAGAGGCGUCCAUCAUGGAUCAUGGAUGUAUACGGGUAAGAUAGCUUGUUACAUUUUCAGAUAUUACACGUUUUCUAAUUUUGACAGAAUGGGGUUUUCAUUUCAAGCUAAAGUGCACCGUUAGCUAGCUAGCUACGGGUCUGAAGCUAAAGUGCACUGUUAGCUAGCUAGCUAACGUUAGCCGGCUGGCUCAUUAGCUAACGUUAGCCGGCUGGCUCAUUAGCUAACGUUAGCCGGCUGGCUCAUUAGC